GCCGGCAGCUAGCUCUCUACAACUCUCACAUGGCUGCCCACUGAAGCUAAACAGGGCUGUGCCCGGUCAGUACCUGAAUGGGAGACCACAUGGGAAAGCUAGGUUGCUGCUGGAA
Molecule: ribosomal RNA, 115 nt
Filed under: Danio rerio (zebrafish)
Lineage: Eukaryota; Metazoa; Chordata; Actinopteri; Cypriniformes; Danionidae
Source: RNAcentral